RNAcentral lists this ribosomal RNA (253 nucleotides) under uncultured bacterium. RNAcentral describes it as "partial 16S ribosomal RNA". It matches the Rfam family "Bacterial small subunit ribosomal RNA", at positions 524 to 776 of the family's 1533-position model. The record is from RNAcentral.
UACAGAGGUGGCAAGCGUUGUUCGGAAUUACUGGGCGUAAAGGGCGAGUAGGCGGCCUUCUAAGUCAGACGUGAAAUCCCCCGGCUUAACCUGGGAACUGCGUCUGAUACUGGGAGGCUAGAGUAUGGGAGAGGGAUGUAGAAUUCCAGGUGUAGCGGUGAAAUGCGUAGAUAUCUGGAGGAAUACCGGUGGCGAAGGCGGCAUCCUGGACCAUUACUGACGCUGAAUCGCGAAAGCUAGGGGAGCAAACGGG